CAGUCGCCGCGGUAAUACGAAGGGGGCUAGCGUUGUUCGGAAUUACUGGGCGUAAAGCGCAUGUAGGCGGAUAUUUAAGUCAGGGGUGAAAUCCCGCAGCUCAACUGCGGAACUGCCUUUGAUACUGGGUAUCUUGAGUAUGGAAGAGGUUAGUGGAAUUGCGAGUGUAGAGGUGAAAUUCGUAGAUAUUCGCAGGAACACCAGUGGCGAAGGCGGCUAACUGGUCCAUAACUGACGCUGAGGUGCGAAAGCGUGGGGAGCAAACAGGAUUAGAGACCCCCGUAGUCCCUGUCUCUUAUAC
This 301-nucleotide ribosomal RNA is filed under the name uncultured bacterium. Its description in RNAcentral is "partial 16S ribosomal RNA". It matches the Rfam family "Bacterial small subunit ribosomal RNA", at positions 509 to 807 of the family's 1533-position model. The record is from RNAcentral.